UUAUGAGCUAAUAAAUAAUUAUUAUUCAUACUUCAUUAUUGUCUUGUCUAGCAGUUAGGAAAGGAAUGAAUCAUACACUAUUAUACAACUUGCAAUUUAUUUUCAUUACUCCAUAAUGAUGAAACCGUAACCCCUGUGUCCCUAUCUUCUUGAAUAAAUUGAAAGACACUUAUUGUCAUGGAGGAUAACCAAGCUAUUAAACAAAAUUUCUAUCUCAUAAAUUUGAUUAUAUAUGCCAAACAAACAAAUAACAGAGAUGAAGCCUACCUUAUCAUUUCAAGUGACCACAAAGCUUUGUUAUAAAUUUUAUUCUCCCCCAAUCUAAUUUGUUAGCAUCUCAACAAAUAGUUCAUCGUUUUCAACCUUGGAUCGUCGAACCAAACUUUGGAACGAGAGAUAACGUGUGUAAACUAUAGUUGCGAAUUUAGCCUUGUAUUGUGCUUGGAAGGAAAGCAUCUAAGGUACUCAAGGAGAUGAUCAUGAUUGGUGCUUUUGCUUGAUGCGUGCGUGGGGAUAAACAAUUUGGGGGUUUUUAUUAACUUGUAAUUUAAAUGAAACAUUGUAUCAUUGUAUAAGUAUUACUUGUAAUCGCAGAUAAUUAUUCUUUUUU
Trifolium pratense (red clover) is the source of this 610-nucleotide long non-coding RNA. RefSeq lists it as uncharacterized. The record is from RefSeq and is a predicted model, not a curated record. The transcript has 2 exons. Lineage: Eukaryota; Viridiplantae; Streptophyta; Magnoliopsida; Fabales; Fabaceae.